CGGAACAUAGCUCAGCGGGUAGAGCAACUGGCUUAUAUCCAGUGUGGCGGGGGUUCGAGUCCUCCUGUCCCGA
Molecule: transfer RNA, 73 nt
Filed under: Bacteriophage sp.
Description: tRNA-Ile
Rfam family: tRNA
About the family: Transfer RNA (tRNA) molecules are approximately 80 nucleotides in length.
Source: RNAcentral